RNAcentral lists this long non-coding RNA (287 nucleotides) under Ananas comosus (pineapple). Its description in RNAcentral is "long non-coding RNA (ACOM_LNC004518)". Lineage: Eukaryota; Viridiplantae; Streptophyta; Magnoliopsida; Poales; Bromeliaceae. The record is from RNAcentral.
UGAAUUUUGAAUUUUAAUUUUUAAAAUUUUAUUUUUAAAUUUUGAAUUUUGAAUUUUGAAUUUUAAAUUUUAAAAUUUUAGAAAUUUAAUUGUUAUAAAUACUAUGGAAUUAUAUUAUCUGUAUCAAAACAGCUUAAAAAUGAAGCUGUGGAAUUUUUUUGUAGUUACAGAAUUCCGUAUUUUAUUUAGACCAAAACCGAAUAAAAAUUCUAUGGAGUUUUUUAACUAUGCAUCCAAACAGAGCCUUAGUCUCAAAGUUGCCGACAAAUAUUUUUAAUCAAAUUAUU